GAGGAAUCGUCUAACAACAGAGGGGCGAUCUCUUCCAAUGAAAAUGAAAAAUGAAAAUGAAAUCUCUUCCCUCAGUAGCAUUUCACCCAAAUCAAGAAAUAGGCGAUGAGCAACAACAGAAAAGCAACAAAUUUUCAAGCAAUUAAAACAUGAACUGGGCGAACCACAACAAGAAAAGAGAGAAGAAAUUUGCAAGAAAUUAAUGAAAUUUGCAGUCGGCAAGGAGCAAGUUCGACGAAUUGAUCUCGAAUCUCGCCGCCGACGUCCCCAACCUACAUGGCCGCCCUUACCUCACCAGAUCUGUCCCAAUUGCCCUCACCUGCAACAUCCUCGCCUUGAAAGGGUUUAGAGACCUGAGUUUUGCAGAGGGUUAGGGGAGAUCAGAGGUGAGAGGCGGAGGCGGAGGAGAUCAGAGGGAGGAGGGCGAAGACAGAUCCGGCGAAGGGCGAAGGACAGAUCCGGCGGGGGCGGCAGGUGAGGGCGAAGGGCGAAGUGCGGCUUCCUCCCUUGACAGAUCCGGCG
RNAcentral lists this long non-coding RNA (522 nucleotides) under Salvia miltiorrhiza (redroot sage). RNAcentral describes it as "long non-coding RNA (SMIL_LNC009313)". The record is from RNAcentral. Lineage: Eukaryota; Viridiplantae; Streptophyta; Magnoliopsida; Lamiales; Lamiaceae.